Molecule: non-coding RNA, 277 nt
Filed under: Neobacillus vireti
Lineage: Bacteria; Bacillati; Bacillota; Bacilli; Caryophanales; Bacillaceae
Description: Bacillus vireti T-box sequence
Rfam family: T-box leader
About the family: Uncharged tRNA acts as the effector for transcription antitermination of genes in the T-box leader family. T-boxes are found upstream of many aminoacyl-tRNA synthetase genes and some amino acid biosynthetic genes usually in Gram-positive bacteria.
Source: RNAcentral
UUUAAAGCGUUGAAGAGGGAAAGUACGAUUUAGCUAUUUUUCACAGAGAGCUUCGGAAGCUGAAAAGAAGCAAAAAUACAAAUCCGAACAAUGGCCUCCGAGCUUCGUGCUGAAACAAUCUGCCAAGGUUGGAGUAGGUUCCGACGAGAUUUGGUACUCGUUACCCAAACCACAGUAUAAGGAGCAUCAAUUGCGCUCACGUACUUGCAGAGGCUGUUUUGCGCAAGCAUUCAGUAAAUUAAGGUGGUACCACGUGGAUCUAAACCACGUCCUUAUC